CUCCCCUCUGUCCUCCUUUUAGCCCCCCUUUAUCUUACGCGAUCUGGCUUUAGACAAGAUUUCCCCUCAGGGGUGCACAAAAGGAGGGAGAGGCUCCGAUCAAAGAAAAAUGUGGAAUAUUCAGAGAACACUCGAGAGAGACAGGUUUCUGGGAUGGGCAGAGCCUGCCCUCCAAAGGACCCCUCUUUUAUACCCUCCACUGAUGACCACUGGCCCUGCCCUCCAGAUGCCAAACAUCGUGGAAGCCUGAUUCUGGAAGACAAAAUGCCCAGUCCUCAAACAAACUGCGUGUGCUUCAGAGUUCUGCCUCUGGAGGAUCAAAAGGCAGUCUGAACCUCACAUAUCUGUCCUUUAAGGUGGGCUUUGGGCUAGCUGUGCCACUUGAAAGUGACCCAGAUGUGGGAAGGUGGAACAAGUUUCCUUUCACCAGGUAAGCCAACUUGGCCUGGAGAGUCAGGUGUGACCUGUAAGCAACCCCUCCUGGCAGGACAUCUCCUGGGGUAACCACAUCUCGGAGCCUAGCCGUGCCAACACCAAGCAGCUGCUGUGCUUGGGUGGCACUUCAGCGCCCUCUGGCGACCAUUCUCUCCAAUGACAGCUCAGAGCACCUCCUCCUGCCUCCUGAACAGACCCCUGGAUGGACUGACUGCCCUGGGCUUGUGCCCUGGGUAGUUGACUUAAUCCCUCCUCUCAUUCUAAAGCAACCAUUUUCCUCUCAUAGUCAGCAAAGCUGCUCAACUCCUCCCAAUCCUUCCCCUCUAGGUCAUUGAGCUGAACCCACUCCAAGUCAUGUGAUCAGAUUUCAAUGAGUCAGCCUCCCCAUCUUCAUUUCUGUCACUCGGGUCGAGAUGCAGCCUCUGCAGAAUCCAAAGGCAGUCAGAACUCUUCACGGACUGUCCAGUCACCUGGACCUCAGGCUACCUGAGCUGUCAGAAAGUGACCCGCAGAUGGGAAGAGCAGGACAAGGUCCUCCCUAUCAGGAACAAUGGUUUCAGCUCUCCUAGGAAAACACCGUGCAUUCCUGGCUCUGGAAAACUGCAUGCCAAAUUUUCUGACCAACUGCUUGUGGGUUGAGAGUUCUCCUUUGGGAGAACCCCAAAGUCAGCCAGACGCCUGACUGCCAGUCCCAGGGUGUGGGCUUUGGUCUGCCUGAGCUGACUGCAAGUGACCCAGAUGCGUUGAAGGUGGAACCAUUUCCCUUUUACCUGGAACAACCAAGUGCCUUCCAGGAUGGGGGUGUUUCCCCCUCACAGUCACCCGUGGCUCUCACUCCUCCCUAUCCCUUAGCAUCCCUCUUAGUCUCUGAGCGAGCUGAACCCACUCCAAAUCAAGUAACUGGGUUUACGCUAGAUCAGCCUCCCCUCUUCAUUUAUGUGACCUGUCUUGAACUAAGAUUUUUUUUUUUUUCCCCCCUUGGGGUGAAGGAAAAGAGGGAGAGGCUCAGACGGAAGAAAUAGAAGGAUAUUUUCAGAGAACCCUCAAGAGACAAGUUUUGGGAAAUGUGCAACCUUCCCACCAAGGAACCUCUGCUUUUCCACUCACCAUUCACGACCACCCACCCAGCUUUCCAGAUGCCAAACAUGGUGCAGGCAUGAUCCUGGAGCACUGCGUGUCGAGUAGCCAAGCCAACUGCCUCUGGGUUCAGUUUUCUGCCUCCGCAGAACCCAAAGGCAGUCACCACUCUUGCCAGCCUGCCCAACUGUCUGGACGUUAGGCCACCUGAGCUGUCUGAGAGCGCCCCACAGAUGGGAAGGCAGAAGAACAGGGUCCUUCCUCUCAGGUCAUUGAGCUGAACCCACUCCAAGUCAUGUGAUCAGAUUUCAAUGAGUCAGCCUCCCCAUCUUCAUUUCUGUCACUCGGGUCGAGAUGCAGCCUCUGCAGAAUCCAAAGGCAGUCAGAACUCUUCACGGACUGUCCAGUCACCUGGACCUCAGGCUACCUGAGCUGUCAGAAAGUGACCCGCAGAUGGGAAGAGCAGGACAAGGUCCUCCCUAUCAGGAACAAUGGUUUCAGCUCUCCUAGGAAAACACCGUGCAUUCCUGGCUCUGGAAAACUGCAUGCCAAAUUUUCUGACCAACUGCUUGUGGGUUGAGAGUUCUCCUUUGGGAGAACCCCAAAGUCAGCCAGACGCCUGACUGCCAGUCCCAGGGUGUGGGCUUUGGUCUGCCUGAGCUGACUGCAAGUGACCCAGAUGCGUUGAAGGUGGAACCAUUUCCCUUUUACCUGGAACAACCAAGUGCCUUCCAGGAUGGGGGUGUUUCCCCCUCACAGUCACCCGUGGCUCUCACUCCUCCCUAUCCCUUAGCAUCCCUCUUAGUCUCUGAGCGAGCUGAACCCACUCCAAAUCAAGUAACUGGGUUUACGCUA
This is a long non-coding RNA of Phacochoerus africanus (Common warthog), 2367 nucleotides long. RefSeq lists it as uncharacterized. The transcript has 8 exons. Lineage: Eukaryota; Metazoa; Chordata; Mammalia; Artiodactyla; Suidae. The record is from RefSeq and is a predicted model, not a curated record.